GAAUGAGAGUGAGGAUGAGAUUGAGAGAGAGUACUGGAGGGGAGGAUGGGAGGGAGAGGUAAUAAAAGUGAAACAAAAACUUGAAAGUGAAAACAAUUUCAAAUAUAUUUCAGUUUUUAGUUUUUGUUUUCACUUUUAUUACUCCUCCCCUUUCAUCUUCCCUCUCAAUCUCAUCUCAACUUUUAUUCU
This 189-nucleotide microRNA precursor is filed under the name Prunus dulcis (almond). Its description in RNAcentral is "sRNA ncRNA". Lineage: Eukaryota; Viridiplantae; Streptophyta; Magnoliopsida; Rosales; Rosaceae. The record is from RNAcentral.